RNAcentral lists this ribosomal RNA (497 nucleotides) under uncultured Sphingobacterium sp. Its description in RNAcentral is "bacterial SSU rRNA". It matches the Rfam family "Bacterial small subunit ribosomal RNA", at positions 9 to 500 of the family's 1533-position model. Lineage: Bacteria; Pseudomonadati; Bacteroidota; Sphingobacteriia; Sphingobacteriales; Sphingobacteriaceae. The record is from RNAcentral.
GAGUUUGAUCCUGGCUCAGGAUGAACGCUAGCGGCAGGCUUAACACAUGCAAGUCGAGGGGUAUAAGGGAGCUUGGCUCCUUUAGAGACCGGCAAACGGGUGCGGAACACGUACGCAAUCUGCCCUUAUCUCGGGGAUAGCCCAUAGAAAUGUGGAUUAAUACCCGAUAGUAUGAGAGAGUGGCAUCACUUUUUUAUUAAAGAUUUAUUGGAUAAGGAUGAGCGUGCGUAAGAUUAGCUGGUUGGUAGGGUAACGGCCUACCAAGGCAACGAUCUUUAGCUGAUGUGAGAGCAUGAUCAGCCACACGGGCACUGAGACACGGGCCCGACUCCUACGGGAGGCAGCAGUGAGGAAUAGUUGGUCAAUGGACGGAAGUCUGAACCAGCCAUGCCGCGUGAAGGAUGAAGGCGUUCUGCGUUGUAAACUUCUUUUACCUGGGAAGAAACCACAGUAUUUCUAUUUGUGUUGACGGUACCAGAGGAAUAAGCACCGGCUAA